AACAGGUCUGAAGGUAGUGAGUUAUCUCACUCGAUUGUUCAGUCAGUUCCAGAUUGAACUCCUUGUUCUACGCUUUGCCCUCUUCUCACUGCUGCACUUGACUAAUCUUUA
RNAcentral lists this Y RNA (111 nucleotides) under Microcebus murinus (gray mouse lemur). Its description in RNAcentral is "Y RNA (ENSMICG00000047199.1)". It matches the Rfam family "Y RNA". From Rfam's summary of the family: Y RNAs are components of the Ro ribonucleoprotein particle (Ro RNP), in association with Ro60 and La proteins. The Y RNAs and Ro60 and La proteins are well conserved, but the function of the Ro RNP is not known. The record is from Rfam by way of RNAcentral. Lineage: Eukaryota; Metazoa; Chordata; Mammalia; Primates; Cheirogaleidae.